RNAcentral lists this ribosomal RNA (452 nucleotides) under uncultured bacterium. Its description in RNAcentral is "partial 16S ribosomal RNA". It matches the Rfam family "Bacterial small subunit ribosomal RNA", at positions 28 to 505 of the family's 1533-position model. The record is from RNAcentral.
GAUGAACGCUGACAGAAUGCUUAACACAUGCAAGUCUACUUGAACUUCGGUUUGGGUGGCGGACGGGUGAGUAACGCGUAAAGAACUUGCCUCACAGAUAGGGACAACAUUUGGAAACGAAUGCUAAUACCUGAUAUUAUGAUUUUAGGGCAUCCUAGAAUUAUGAAAGCUAUAUGCACUGUGAGAGAGCUUUGCGUCCCAUUAGCUAGUUGGAGAGGUAACGGCUCACCAAGGCGAUGAUGGGUAGCCGGCCUGAGAGGGUGAUCGGCCACAAGGGGACAGGGACCCGGCCCUUACCCCUACGGGGGGCAGCGGUGGGAAAUAUGGGACAAUGGACCAAGAUUUUGAUCCAGCAAUUUUGGGUGCAAGAUGAAUUUUUUCGGAAUGAAAAGUUCUUUCAGUUGGGAAAAAAAAAAGGGCGGGACAAACAGAAGAAGGGCCGGUGAAAUCCG